GGGUUCGAUCAUACCAAGACUAAUGCACCGGAUCCCAUCGGAACUCUGAAGUUAAGCACGCUUGGGUGAGAAUAGUACAAAGAUGGCCUAUCACAUGACUUUCACAUACAUAGGCU
RNAcentral lists this ribosomal RNA (116 nucleotides) under Cephalotus follicularis. The record is from RNAcentral. Lineage: Eukaryota; Viridiplantae; Streptophyta; Magnoliopsida; Oxalidales; Cephalotaceae.